This 223-nucleotide unclassified non-coding RNA is filed under the name Arthrocatena tenebrosa. Its description in RNAcentral is "Arthrocatena tenebrio partial internal transcribed spacer region". The stretch from base 1 to 46 matches the Rfam family "Eukaryotic small subunit ribosomal RNA", at positions 1786 to 1831 of the family's 1831-position model. The record is from RNAcentral. Lineage: Eukaryota; Fungi; Ascomycota; Dothideomycetes; Arthrocatenales; Arthrocatenaceae.
AAGUCGUAACAAGGUCUCCGUAGGUGAACCUGCGGAGGGAUCAUUGAAGAGUUAGGGCCUCUGGCCCGACCUCCAACCCUUUGUACUUAUUACCAUGUUGCCUCGGGGGCGACCCUGCCGUCCGCGGUUUGGGGCCCCCGGUGGACCACUUAACUCUGCAUCUCUGCGUCUGAGUAACUUUGUAAAUCAAACAAAACUUUCAACAACGGAUCUCUUGGUUCUG